Molecule: ribosomal RNA, 245 nt
Filed under: Vibrio parahaemolyticus
Lineage: Bacteria; Pseudomonadati; Pseudomonadota; Gammaproteobacteria; Vibrionales; Vibrionaceae
Description: partial 16S ribosomal RNA
Rfam family: Bacterial small subunit ribosomal RNA
Source: RNAcentral
UGGAGUCUGCAACUCGACUCCAUGAAGUCGGAAUCGCUAGUAAUCGUGGAUCAGAAUGCCACGGUGAAUACGUUCCCGGGCCUUGUACACACCGCCCGUCACACCAUGGGAGUGGGCUGCAAAAGAAGUAGGUAGUUUAACCUUCGGGGGGGACGCUUACCACUUUGUGGUUCAUGACUGGGGUGAAGUCGUAACAAGGUAGCGCUAGGGGAACCUGGCGCUGGAUCACCUCCUUAAACGAUGAU